CCUUAUGAACCUGGCGGCGUGCCUAACACAUGCAAGUCGAGCGGUAACAGGUGUAGCAAUACAUGCUGACGAGCGGCGAACGGGUGAGUAAUGCUUCGGAAUCUGCCCAAUGGUGGGGAAUAACCAGCCGAAAGGUUGGCUAAUACCGCAUAAGUCCUUCGGGGGAAAGCAGGGGAUCGCAAGACCUUGCGCCGAUGGAUGAGCCGAAGUCGGAUUAGCUAGUUGGUAGGGUAACGGCCUACCAAGGCGACGAUCCGUAGCUGGUCUGAGAGGACGACCAGCCACACUGGGACUGAGACACGGCCCAGACUCCUACGGGAGGCAGCAGUGGGGAAUAUUGGACAAUGGGGGAAACCCUGAUCCAGCGACGCCGCGUGUGUGAAGAAGGCCUGCGGGUUGUAAAGCACUUUUAGUGGGGAUGAAAAGCUCAGGGCUAACACCUCUGGGUCUUGACCUAACCCACAGAAAAAGCACCGGCUAACUCUGUGCCAGCAGCCGCGGUAAUACAGAGGGUGCGAGCGUUAAUCGGAAUUACUGGGCGUUAAGCGUGCGUAGACGGUUAUGUAAGUCGGGUGUGAAAGCCCCGGGCUCAACCUGGGAAUUGCAUUCGAGACUGCAUAGCUUAGGGUUGCGGAA
Molecule: ribosomal RNA, 636 nt
Filed under: uncultured bacterium
Lineage: Bacteria
Description: bacterial SSU rRNA
Rfam family: Bacterial small subunit ribosomal RNA
Source: RNAcentral